Molecule: long non-coding RNA, 612 nt
Filed under: Homo sapiens (human)
Lineage: Eukaryota; Metazoa; Chordata; Mammalia; Primates; Hominidae
Description: non-protein coding lnc-DFFA-10:2
Source: RNAcentral
AACCAGGGGUGCGGGCUGGCCAAAGCCGGAGCCCGGAGUUCCCUCCCGGGUGACCCCCAAGGGCAUUCGUCGGAAUCAGCCGCCCCCAGCCACCCCGAUAAUCCGCCUUAUACGGGGACAAAAGAUUGACUGAGUGGAGCGGGGCGGGGCCCAGGGGUCCUGACGCCCGCAGAGGAGCUGGGAUCAACAUGGGAGGCGCCGAGAGUGGAAUCAUUGUCCGUCGGAAAACAUCUCGCAGGCGGAACCGGCCGAACGCGGCGCGGUGGGAGCGGAACCCCGAGAGGGGAUGAGCGCAUCCCGCGGGAAGCUGCCUGGCCUAUUCUUACAGAACCCGAGCAAAACACCUCCCACGCGCCACCUCGGGAGAGAAGGCGGAAUGAGUAAUGGAAAAGCAUGACUUGGUGGGCAUUCCACUUGUCUCCUUGGGAGACCGCGGAAGGGCUGUGAGGAGAGGAACAAACGCUUUGCACCGUCCCUGAGUUAACGAGCCCAGCCCCCUUCUGGGAGAUGCCCUUGAAGGAGGGAGAGUGGAAGUUAGAAACCCGGAGGACACAAAAGCACGAGCAGUGAUUUCUUUAAAAUCAGAUUUAGAUUCAGCUGGAAAGAAAAAUC